GCGGAGUGGUCAGUUUCGGACCUCACGACUGAAAAUCGCUAGGUCCCCGGUUCAAGCCCGGGACUGCCCA
This 70-nucleotide transfer RNA is filed under the name Fimbriiglobus ruber. RNAcentral describes it as "tRNA-Phe". Lineage: Bacteria; Pseudomonadati; Planctomycetota; Planctomycetia; Gemmatales; Gemmataceae. The record is from RNAcentral.